AAAUAAUAAAAAAAAAAUAAACCUAUCCCUUAGGUGACAUAAGUAACAUGUCGGCCCUUUUGUCUAAUAAAUAAACCUAUCCCACAUUAGUGGGUGACCACCGGCCCAAACCACCAACUAAAUAAGCAAACCCAACCGGCCCAUAUUGCCCAAAUACUGUUAUAAUACAAGUUACGUAUCCAUUCUCUUUGUCUCAUAAUUGCAACACAUCAACCCUAAUUAUUCAUCACACAACGGCAGUAGCAAGACCCCUGUUUCUGUUUCGGUUUACAUCACAACUAGUCGGAUUUCUGGGCGUUUAUGAACAGACAGUUAAGCGAGUAAAUAAUCUUACCGAGCAAAACCAAGGUCCAGGUAUCUUGGAUUUGGGAACUUGCUGUCUGGAAUAGCUGGAGUGGUCAUGGGUCGACUGGAGGGAAUCAUGUAUUUAAACUAUUGAUACUAUACAUUGGUUUCGAAACAGUUUAACUUGGGUUUACUAUUUGCUUCCGCUGAACAUGUUGGUUUUCAUUUAAACUUGUUAAUGAUAAUUGAGGAUUUUAUUUGGAAAUUUGUAUGGGUUCAAUGUAAUUAGUGGCUUGUUGUUGGUACGUCACACGCCUAACAGGGACAUUCCCUAGGUGGUAGU
Molecule: long non-coding RNA, 628 nt
Organism: Helianthus annuus (common sunflower)
Lineage: Eukaryota; Viridiplantae; Streptophyta; Magnoliopsida; Asterales; Asteraceae
Exons: 3
Source: RefSeq, a predicted model, not a curated record